This 289-nucleotide ribosomal RNA is filed under the name uncultured bacterium. RNAcentral's name for it is "partial 16S ribosomal RNA". The record is from RNAcentral.
CUACCCGGGUUUCUAAUCCUGUUUGCUCCCCACGCUUUCGUGUUUCAACGUCAGAAAUGGACCAAGAAGCUGCCUUCGCCAUUGGUGUUCCUCUCGAGAUCUACGCAUUUUACCGCUACUCCGAGAAUUCCACUUCUCUCUUCCACCCUCUAGCACAUCAGUAUCUACUAUUUGCCUCCGGUUAGGCCGGAGAAUUUAACAGUUGACUUAGCAUGCCGUCUACACACCCUUUACGCCCAAUGAUUCCGAAUAACGCUUGCACCACUCGUAUUACCGCGGCUGCUGGCAC